This is a long non-coding RNA of Ornithodoros turicata, 2991 nucleotides long. RefSeq lists it as uncharacterized. Lineage: Eukaryota; Metazoa; Arthropoda; Arachnida; Ixodida; Argasidae. The transcript has 3 exons. The record is from RefSeq and is a predicted model, not a curated record.
UAAGCUGAAAACAUCCGAUUCUGUCAAUAGUACCCGAUUUCACCCCGAAAUACAGGUUCAAAAAUAGCACCCGAUUUUCCCUCCAGAAUCUGGUAAAGGCAUUUAACCCGAAAAAGUCGGACAUUUGCAUAUCCAAUCAUUGCGAUGCUCUAAAAGUUGACGAGGUGGCUGGCUGGCGGGUAUAUGAUGCUUGGUUUUGCAGGGCUGCACAUAAAGCUUGACAAGCACCAUCUAGCCCUGUGCGUUUACACUUUCACUACAUUGUGCUGGGGGUAUGUUUAUUAAAAAGGAAAAGGACAGGUUAGUCAGGCAAUCCAGGUUAGCCACUGUGCUGGUUAGAUUACUACUACACUGUAAAAAAUAGUCGUGAAAAAUACGGGCAUAUCGCCGCGAAAAUAACAGCCGCCAACCCGUUGUUUUAAAUCACACGCGUUUCCUGUUAUUUCGCGGGGGAGGAGUAGUCUGGGCAUGCGCAUUGGACCUGCAUGGCCUUCUCAGAGCAACCGGCCGGCACUCGUGUGAGGAACACAAGUGUGCCCCGACGUCAAAACCGUAAAAGUCAAAGCUGUGCCUGCCCUCGUGGGCUUUCGCAAGAAGAUUUUGAAGGUAUGUGAACUGUUAUUAUGCCCUUUAUGAUGUCAGCUUUUUAGAAUAAAGGGAAACAUGCGCCGCCGUUGUGUGUUACCAAAUACGUAGUGCGUACGUAGGCGACAGCGUUCCGUUGAAGGCGGCGCCAUUCGAAUGGCGCCUUCUUCAACGGAACGCUUUCGCCUUCCGCUGUGUUCUCACUUGUCACACUGUCCAUGUCAUAGCCAUGCAAAUUCUCCAAAUUUCCCUAUCAAACCACUAAAAUGAGCAAUGUGUAACUUUCUGGAACUAGUGGAAGGGUGUGCGUUCAUCCGCGUGGACAUUUGCAACAGGCCCGGGUUGACAAGCGCCGGUUAACGAGAUUGAACGCUCAACCGAGAUUAAGGAUGCUUUACACCUUUUUAUUAAUAUGGUUAAUUCGUGACGCAAGAUUUAUUUUAGAAAUGCUUCACAGUGCUGUCGAAAGAGAGUUGAGUCGCAAUUCCAAGUCGAGGAACCCUUGAUCUCGUUUAACCGACGUUGAUCGAAUGAGGCCAUUGUGUACGCCCGUGGUUCAUAUAAUUUUUAAGUGUUUGCACUAUUUUUAAGACCACAAAUAUCAAUGCUCCAUACAGAAUGCAUAAAACAAACAUGAGGAUAAAACAGUAGCACAAAUGUUGGUAAAAGCGUUGGCGAGACGUUUUUUGCUUUGCCCCGUAUAAGCGAGAGUGUCUUCGUUAUCAGCACAAAAAGCGGUCGACGACAUCGCCUGAUAUGAACGGGAAUCAAGUUACGGCUCCGCACUGAUGGAAGCACACCAGCAAGAAGAGCCCGCUUUGAAUGGGGAGAAUAACGAUUGCGCGUCUCUGAGUUUAACGAAAAUAUGGCGAAGGGUACGCGAUAAUGUUGUGACACGUUUCGUUAGCCGAGCGGUGUUUGCAUGAUGAAGUGAUAGUGUAGCUGCACAAUACUUUUUUUGGUACACAGCUUUUACUCUGACGCAGACAACACCUGUUCUUUUUCUGGCAUCUUCUUGUAUACGCCCUUUUUUAAUACUUUUGUGGCCUUAUCUCUUUCUCUGUUUUAUUACCAAACAAGGGUCUGGGCAUGUACAUACAAGAAGCAAGCAGCAAACGAGUAUGUACUGUGCUGUGAAUGCAAACUGUCUCAAGUAUACCUUUAUGACUAUCAAAGGCACUUCCAAAUACAUUCAUCUAUACAUAACAUAUCUGUGUCGUGCACCCAAGGAGACUGGAAUGGAAGCCGCGAACAAGAAAGUUGCUGCAGCCCAUAUAGGGCACCCGUGAUCAAAAUGGCUGCCCAGGACAACAUAUCUUUGUGUUGAAACCGGUCUGUGCAUAUUAUAAUGAAGACCAUGACGCCUGCACCUCGUUUCACACUGUAAGUUCUCAUGCACCAUCUUGAUUCUGAGAGUUCUUCUGUGAUAAUAUGAUCAUUGACAUAUUUUUUGGUGACACACAUGAAAAAGAAAAUAUCAAAGAUCAAAGUACUAUAGUGACAUCUGAAGGUUGUGUCAGUGCAGGGUACAGACAAGCAGUUCUAAAGGCAGCAACUAGGCAAUCACAGGCGACUCUCUCCAUUGUCUCUGUUUCCUGUCUGUCAGUGAUAUAGCAAAGUGCUGACAAAAAUUUUGUAAGAAGUAACGAGUGCACAAAGCUUUUUCAUGUUUAGUUUCUGUUUAAUGUGGCAUAUUUUCUGGUGUCUGAUGACUAUUAUAUGGCUGUUCAAUUGUUUGCAUUACUGAGUGAGGUAUAUACAAUCUUCCUUUGCACAGAGCUGUGCCAACAGCUGCGGAUUGCGCACCCCCAACACCACGCCUCUGCUAUUAGUAUGAGUGCUUCCAUUUGCUGGAAGUCUUCGUUGCCUGCAAUUGGCACCUUGCAGUGGUCAUUUCUUCUUUAUGAAAAACAUAUUUCUGUUUUGCGCAACUGAAAGAAAGUAUGCUGUCACAAAACAAAAGUCUGUGCUGCAGCUGCAACAUGGGCUCUCAAAGCAUUUGCAGCCACUGCAAUAGAUUUAUAGUACAUCUCUCUCUCAUUGGGUCAUCACUGCUACACUUCUUAGGCAUUGUUCUUCCCUUGGACAACGACAAAAUGCUAACUGCAAGCAGCGUGGAGAAAGCAUUGACGCUUCAGCUCGGAGUGUAUUUCAACUACGAUGUGCAGUACCUGCCACCAACGUUUCUUGUGUUAGAAUUCAUGCAAUGCUAUUUUGGACACAUCAGCCCUGAAAGAGGAACAAAGCACCCCCAACGGUAAACAAGAUUAAGUGGCAUGCCUGUUCGCGUUCUAUCACUUCUCUGCAAACUGGGGUAAAGUUCAAAGGAGCCGUUGCAAGCUGCCGUUCUGCAGAAAGUUACUGCACUGUACACUUCAUUGAAUAUAUUGUUUUAUGAACACAGAA